Molecule: ribosomal RNA, 951 nt
Filed under: Triticum aestivum (bread wheat)
Lineage: Eukaryota; Viridiplantae; Streptophyta; Magnoliopsida; Poales; Poaceae
Description: partial small subunit ribosomal RNA
Source: RNAcentral
AUGGAUGCGGCGGCCUCAGCCGCUGUCGCGGCAGCCAAGGAGGCGGCUCUGGCCGCAUCUGCCGCGGCAUCUGCGGCUGCCAAGCAGGCGGCAGUGGCAGCUUCGACUGCGGUGGAGGCGGCGGCUGCCAAGGAGGCGGCGCUGGUCGCGUCUGCUGCCGCAUCGGCUGCCGCGAAGGAGGCAGCGGCGGCGGCUGCGACCGCGACGGAGGCGGCCGUGAAGGCUUCGGCUGCGUCCUUAAAUGCGAAGGAGGCAGCGGAUGCGGCGGCGGCCACAGGGGAGGCCGCGACGGUGGCGAUUCAGGCUUCCAAGAAGCGGAAGUUCCAUCUUAUCGACGGCGACGACGAUGAUCUCAUCAGCCGCCUCCCCGACGCCGUCCUCGGCAGCAUCGUGUCUCUUCUCCCCACCAAGGAAGGUGCCCGCACGCAGGUCCUCUCCCGCCGGUGGCGUCCGCUCUGGCUCUCCGGCUCCGCUCCUCUGAACCUCGUGGUGGACUCUGAACUCAAGACCAUCGGCUUGGUUUCAAAGAUCCUCUCCGAGCAUCCUGGACCCGCGCGCUGCUUCUCGCUCCGCCUCCACAUCGACGACUGCUACGACAGGAUCGAAGGCUGGCUCAGUUCCCAGGCGCUGUACAGCCUGGAGGAGCUCGAGCUCGCCCCCAAUCUCUUGUUCGCCAAGACGGAGAAGUUGUGCCUGCUGCCAUCGUCCGUGCACCGCUUCUCGUCCACGCUCCGCGUGGCCAAAUUCCACGGCUUCCAUUUCCCCGACUUGAUUGUGCAGCUGUCCCUCAAGUUUCCGGGCCUCGAGCAGCUGACCCUGGCUAGCGUCACCAUCUCAGAGGACGCCCUCCAGACUCCAGAGCAUGCUCUCUGGCUGCCCUGCCUUGGAAAGCCUCGAGCUGAAGGAAAAUUCGGGCAUUGCUCGCCUCUGCAUCAGCUCCCAGACCAUUAG